Molecule: long non-coding RNA, 1284 nt
Organism: Neofelis nebulosa (Clouded leopard)
Lineage: Eukaryota; Metazoa; Chordata; Mammalia; Carnivora; Felidae
Exons: 4
Source: RefSeq, a predicted model, not a curated record
CACUACAUGAUAUUCUCUUGCUUAUUGAAUUUUGUUUUUGUGUUUAAUGCCUGUCAUCCUCCACAGGAAUGUAGGGUCCGUGAGAGCAGGAGCCCUUUUUGUCUUACUCCCUAUUGUUGUCCCAGAGCCUAGGAUGUUGCCUAGUAUAUAAACACAGAUCUCUCUUGGACACUGGUGAUCAAAGCAUCUAUCUAUCAUGAUAUUCAGAACUCCCCUCCAGUAUUAACUAAGGAUGUUAGAUUUUGCAGCUUCUUUCAGAGCAGUUGCUAAGACUAGCUCUUCACUUGUAUUACUUCCCGGUGAUGGUGCUGAGGAGAGAGGGACUGAAGCUUCUGAAUUCCAACUCCAGCCCUGGCUUUGUAAAGAAAGUCAUUUGGAUAAGCUCUUGUUAGCUGUCUGUCCUGAUCUACAAUGACCAGCAUGGGACUAAGGUCAUAUGCUAUCAUCAGGCCUCACCUCUAGUUAUGAGGUACCACAUUGCUUAUCCUCAUCAUUGCAGAGCAAGACAAGACUGUAUCCAGAGGGCUGAUCUCAUUAUGAUGGAAAUCACAAUGAUGGAAAAAAUCUUCCAUCAUUUUUCAUAUCUCUUGCAACUCCCUGUCCCUUCCCCCCACCAGGUAGGCUCCUUCUUGGUCCACUCUGUCCACUGCUUAUACCUCCCUCCACUUUUGGCAGUUGACCUUCCUUAAAGGCAUUGCAUCAUCAAAAUACUUUCCAUUAAGAGCUAGGUCUACUUAGAGCUGGGUUUGUUCAUAAUAAAAUGUCAGUUUUUGAACAAAGUACCAAAUGAGGGCAGGCCUCAGCUAAAACUAUCUAUAGAAAUCUCACCAAUACAAAUUUGUUCCCUAAGUGACUUAAAAUUAAAUAAUUUCCCUGAGGGAGUUAAUACUUCUUGCCACUGUUUAACUUGAACUGAAGGUUUUAGUCAAAUUUUUUUUUUCCUACCAAUAAACUGGGACCAGCUUUCCUGAGUGAGUGUAUGGGGGGUGGUGCAGGGUAGAGUGAGGAGGAAGGGAAGACAGGCCUGGGUGAAAGAGGAUAUUCAUGAGGUCAAUUUUGGAUACUGACCUUUCUAGGGAGAGCAGUUCUAGAAUAAAUGCUAUUCGAACUGGAACUGCUAGAGGCUGGCAAAAUCUGUUCCUUGUGAGCACGAGGCACAAGGAACAUGGUUACGUCUCAGUCUUGGAAAUGAGAUGUUUCCCAGUGUGGAUAAGGGCGGUGCUUGAACUCUGGAAAAUUGAUAUUGUGUUCCCAUCUUCACCCGUUCAUUUCUUCAUAGCAAAA